GUGUCAGCCGCCGCGGUAAAACGUAGGAGGCAAGCGUUAUCCGGAAUUACUGGGCGUAAAGGGCGUCUAGGCGGUAGGGCAAGCGGGAUGUGAAAGCUCCUGGCUCAACUGGGAGAGUGCGUUCCGAACUGCCGAACUAGAGGCCAGGCGAUGGGGGUGGAAUUCCCGGUGGAGUGGUGAAAUGCGUAGAGAUCGGGAGGAACACCAGUGGCGCAAGCGGCCCCCAAGCCUGAGCCUGACGCUGAAGCGCGACAGCGUGGGGAGCAAACGGGAUUAGAUACCCCGGUAGUCCACGCCAUAAACGAUGGUGACUAGGUGUGGGGCGUGGUACACACGCCUCGUGCCGUAGCCAACGCGAUAAGUCACCCGCCUGGGGAGUACGGCCGCAAGGCUAAA
Molecule: ribosomal RNA, 396 nt
Filed under: uncultured bacterium
Lineage: Bacteria
Description: bacterial SSU rRNA
Rfam family: Bacterial small subunit ribosomal RNA
Source: RNAcentral